CUCAGGUAUCGCCUGGGUGAUGCUCUGCCAUCCGGAUCUUUAGGUUCCCAGGGUCAGAGGCCGGUCAGGAAGACCAGGCCUCUGCAGCGGUUGAGCCCCCAUGGUGGUUCCCGGGCCCCGGCAUCAGAAGAGCCCUUCCGCAGGUCCCAAUGGUGGUGAAUAGAGUGCCGGCGGGGAGGCUGCAAGUGGAGGAGGUCGUGGACGGCGUCGCGGCG
This is a non-coding RNA of Pelobates cultripes (western spadefoot toad), 215 nucleotides long. The record is from the annotation of a GenBank genome assembly. Lineage: Eukaryota; Metazoa; Chordata; Amphibia; Anura; Pelobatidae.